GCGGCGGACGGGUGAGUAAUGCCUAGGAAUCUGCCUGGUAGUGGGGGACAACGUUUCGAAAGGAACGCUAAUACCGCAUACGUCCUACGGGAGAAAGCAGGGGACCUUCGGGCCUUGCGCUAUCAGAUGAGCCUAGGUCGAUUAGCUAGUUGGUGAGGUAAUGGCUCACCAAGGCUACGAUCCGUAACUGGUCUGAGAGGAUGAUCAGUCACACUGGAAUGAGACACGGUCCAGACUCCUACGGGAGGCAGCAGUGGGGAAUAUUGGACAAUGGGCGAAAGCCUGAUCCAGCCAUGCCGCGUGUGUGAGAAGGUCUUCGGAUUGUAAAGCACUUUAAGUUGGGAGGAAGGUUGUAGAUUAAUACUCGCAAUUUUGACGUUACCGACAGAAUAAGCACCGGCUAACUCUGUGCCAGCAGCCGCGGUAAUACAGAGGGUGCAAGCGUUAAUCGGAAUUACUGGGCGUAAAGCGCGCGUAGGUGGUUCGUUAAGUUGGAUGUGAAAUCCCCGGGCUCAACCUGGGAACUGCAUCCAAAACUGGCGAGCUAGAGUAUGG
This 555-nucleotide ribosomal RNA is filed under the name Pseudomonas sp. ICBR 082. RNAcentral describes it as "bacterial SSU rRNA". It matches the Rfam family "Bacterial small subunit ribosomal RNA", at positions 95 to 651 of the family's 1533-position model. The record is from RNAcentral. Lineage: Bacteria; Pseudomonadati; Pseudomonadota; Gammaproteobacteria; Pseudomonadales; Pseudomonadaceae.